Molecule: ribosomal RNA, 732 nt
Filed under: uncultured bacterium
Lineage: Bacteria
Description: bacterial SSU rRNA
Rfam family: Bacterial small subunit ribosomal RNA
Source: RNAcentral
AGGGUUUGAUCCUGGCUCAGAUUGAACGCUGGCGGCAGGCUUAACACAUGCAAGUCGAGCGGAAACGAUCCUAGCUUGCUAGGAGGCGUCGAGCGGCGGACGGGUGGGUAACGCGUAGGAAUUUGCCCAGUAGUGGGGGAUAGCCCGGGGAAACCCGGAUUAAUACCGCAUACGCCCUAAGGGGGAAAGCAGGGGAUCUUCGGACCUUGCGCUAUUGGAUGAGCCUGCGUCGGAUUAGCUAGUUGGUGGGGUAAAGGCCUACCAAGGCGACGAUCCGUAGCUGGUCUGAGAGGAUGAUCAGCCACACCGGGACUGAGACACGGCCCGGACUCCUACGGGAGGCAGCAGUGGGGAAUAUUGGACAAUGGGGGCAACCCUGAUCCAGCCAUGCCGCGUGUGUGAAGAAGGCUUUCGGGUUGUAAAGCACUUUCAGUGGGGAGGAAAUGCCGGAGAUUAAUACUUUCUGGCUUUGACGUUACCCACAGAAGAAGCACCGGCUAACUCCGUGCCAGCAGCCGCGGUAAUACGGAGGGUGCAAGCGUUAAUCGGAAUUACUGGGCGUAAAGCGCGCGUAGGCGGUUAGAUCAGUCGGGUGUGAAAGCCCCGGGCUCAACCUGGGAACUGCAUUCGAUACUGUCUGACUGGAGUAUGGGAGAGGGUAGUGGAAUUCCACGUGUAGCGGUGAAAUGCGUAGAUAUGUGGAGGAACACCUGUGGCGAAGGCGGCUACCUG